UACGUAGGUGGCGAGCGUUGUCCGGAUUUACUGGGCGUAAAGAGCGCGCAGGCGGUCGUACAAGUCGCGUGUGAAAGCCCCCGGCUCAACUGGGGAGGGUCACGCGAUACUGUUCGACUCGAAGGCAGGAGAGGGUAGUGGAAUUCCCGGUGUAGUGGUGAAAUGCGUAGAGAUGUGGAGGAACACCGAUGGCGAAGGCAGCCUCCUGGGCCAACACUGACGCUCAUGCACGAAAGCGUGGGGAGCAAACAGG
Molecule: ribosomal RNA, 253 nt
Filed under: uncultured bacterium
Lineage: Bacteria
Description: partial 16S ribosomal RNA
Rfam family: Bacterial small subunit ribosomal RNA
Source: RNAcentral